GUGGUGGAUAUCAUCUCAGCUUUGGUCUUCUUUGCAGUCUCUCCUUUAUGAGAGAUUCUAGGGUUCCGAUGACGUUUGCAUUUUGAUGAAUGUCUCCAUUUUCGUAUAGAUCGAACCUCGUAGUGAUGUUUGGAAUUGUUUUGGUUGUUCCAGCUUCUCCAACAAGCUUCUGGGUUUCCCAGCUUGGCUCGUGAUAUUCCUGGAAUAGCGUUCUAACUGACAAUGAACCAUUCAAGGUUGAUAACAGUGUGAAGGAAUCCACAAAUGAGGUUAAAAAUUCUGA
This 283-nucleotide long non-coding RNA is filed under the name Helianthus annuus (common sunflower). RNAcentral's name for it is "sRNA HanXRQr2_Chr10g0430461". Lineage: Eukaryota; Viridiplantae; Streptophyta; Magnoliopsida; Asterales; Asteraceae. The record is from RNAcentral.